CCUACGGGUGGCAGCAGUGGGGGAUAUUGCACAAUGGGGGGAACCCUGAUGCAGCGACGCCGCGUGGGUGAAGGAGCGUUUCGGCGCGUAAAGCCCUAUCGGCAGGGAAGCAGGAGGACGGUACCUGCCUAAGAAGCCCCGGCUAACUACGUGCCAGCAGCCGCGGUAAUACGUAGGGGGCAAGCGUUAUCCGGAUUUACUGGGGGUAAAGGGGGCGCAGACGGCAGCGCAAGCCAGGAGUGAAAGCCCGGGGCCCAACCCCGGGACUGCUCUUGGAACUGCGCGGCUGGAGUGCAGGAGGGGCAGGCGGAAUGCCUGGUGUAGCGGUGAAAUGCGUAGAUAUCAGGCGGAACACCGGUGGCGAAGGCGGCCUGCUGGUCUGCGACUGACGUUGAGGCCCGAAAGCGUGGGGAGCGAACAGGAUUAGAUACCCGGGUAGUC
This 441-nucleotide ribosomal RNA is filed under the name uncultured bacterium. RNAcentral describes it as "partial 16S ribosomal RNA". It matches the Rfam family "Bacterial small subunit ribosomal RNA", at positions 338 to 795 of the family's 1533-position model. The record is from RNAcentral.